AAGGUGGACGAGGAAGAUGUGGUCUCCCACAUCCUCGCCAAACUGGAGGACGAGUUCGAUCUCGUGGUGUCCGCCAUGUGCUCACAGGUUGAACCUGUUACUGUCCUGGAGCUGUAUUCGCAACUUUUGAGCUUCGAGA
This 139-nucleotide small nucleolar RNA is filed under the name Triticum urartu. Its description in RNAcentral is "Small nucleolar RNA Z247". It matches the Rfam family "Small nucleolar RNA Z247". From Rfam's summary of the family: Z247 is a member of the C/D class of snoRNA which contain the C (UGAUGA) and D (CUGA) box motifs. Most of the members of the box C/D family function in directing site-specific 2'-O-methylation of substrate RNAs. Lineage: Eukaryota; Viridiplantae; Streptophyta; Magnoliopsida; Poales; Poaceae. The record is from Rfam by way of RNAcentral.